RNAcentral lists this small nuclear RNA (156 nucleotides) under Myotis lucifugus (little brown bat). Its description in RNAcentral is "U2 spliceosomal RNA". It matches the Rfam family "U2 spliceosomal RNA". Rfam says of the family: U2 is a small nuclear RNA (snRNA) component of the spliceosome (involved in pre-mRNA splicing). Complementary binding between U2 snRNA (in an area lying towards the 5' end but 3' to hairpin I) and the branchpoint sequence (BPS) of the intron results the bulging out of an unpaired adenosine, on the BPS, which initiates a nucleophilic attack at the intronic 5' splice site, thus starting the first of two transesterification reactions that mediate splicing. The record is from Rfam by way of RNAcentral. Lineage: Eukaryota; Metazoa; Chordata; Mammalia; Chiroptera; Vespertilionidae.
AUCGCUUCUCGGCCUUUUGGCUAAGAUCAAGUGUAGUAUUUAUUACCUCUAGGUAAUAAAUAAAUAUGUGUUCUUUUAAGCCACUAUAACAUUGUUAUCCACUUCUCAGAAUUCUCCAUUUUUGAAAUGACAGUGUUAUAAAGAUGGAGAAUAGGA